UCAACUUCUUCACCAACAUU
RNAcentral lists this small nuclear RNA (20 nucleotides) under Arabidopsis thaliana (thale cress). RNAcentral describes it as "snRNA_09882". The record is from RNAcentral. Lineage: Eukaryota; Viridiplantae; Streptophyta; Magnoliopsida; Brassicales; Brassicaceae.